This 492-nucleotide ribosomal RNA is filed under the name uncultured bacterium. RNAcentral describes it as "partial 16S ribosomal RNA". It matches the Rfam family "Bacterial small subunit ribosomal RNA", at positions 29 to 507 of the family's 1533-position model. The record is from RNAcentral.
AGUGAACGCUGGCGGUAGGCCUAACACAUGCCAGUCGAACGGCAGCACAGUAAGAGCUUGCUCUUACGGGUGGCGAGUGGCGGACGGGUGAGGAAUACAUCGGAAUCUACUUUUUCGUGGGGGAUAACGUAGGGAGACUUACGCUAAUACCGCAUACGACCUACGGGUGAAAGCAGGGGAUCUUCGGACCUUGCGCGAUUGAAUGAGCCGAUGUCGGAUUAGCUAGUUGGCGGGGUAAAGGCCCACCAAGGCGACGAUCCGUAGCUGGUCUGAGAGGAUGAUCAGCCACACUGGAACUGAGACACGGUCCAGACUCCUACGGGAGGCAGCAGUGGGGAAUAUUGGACAAUGGGCGCAAGCCUGAUCCAGCCAUACCGCGUGGGUGAAGAAGGCCUUCGGGUUGUAAAGCCCUUUUGUUGGGAAAGAAAAGCAGCAGGUUAAUACCCCGCUGUUCUGACGGUACCCAAAGAAUAAGCGCCGGCUAACUUCGUG